RNAcentral lists this non-coding RNA (62 nucleotides) under human gut metagenome. RNAcentral describes it as "Fluoride riboswitch". It matches the Rfam family "Fluoride riboswitch aptamer (crcB RNA motif)", at positions 10 to 57 of the family's 64-position model. The record is from RNAcentral.
UCAGGGAAUGAAGUUCUCCCUUGGGAAACCAAAACCGCUUUUAAAGCUGAUGACUUCUAUGA